AUUCGUUCUCAGGGCGGGGUGUAAUUCCCCACCGGCGGUAAGGGGGAGACCUCAAGCCCGCGAGCGCCCCACCUCAUGUUGGGGGUCAGCAGAUCCGGUGUGAUUCCGGAGCCGACGGUCAUAGUCCGGAUGAAAGAGAACGGGA
This 145-nucleotide non-coding RNA is filed under the name Devosia sp. LC5. RNAcentral describes it as "FMN riboswitch aptamer (RFN element)". It matches the Rfam family "FMN riboswitch aptamer (RFN element)". From Rfam's summary of the family: The RFN element is a highly conserved domain that is found frequently in the 5'-untranslated regions of prokaryotic mRNAs that encode for flavin mononucleotide (FMN) biosynthesis and transport proteins. This element is a metabolite-dependent riboswitch that directly binds FMN in the absence of proteins. In Bacillus subtilis, the riboswitch most likely controls gene expression by causing premature transcription termination within the 5' untranslated region of the ribDEAHT operon and precluding access to the ribosome-binding site of ypaA mRNA. Lineage: Bacteria; Pseudomonadati; Pseudomonadota; Alphaproteobacteria; Hyphomicrobiales; Devosiaceae. The record is from Rfam by way of RNAcentral. RNAcentral also lists the same sequence under 1 other name.